AAAAACUUUACUUGUAGGAACAGUAAGAUGGUGAAAGAAUCAAAAGCAGACAUUGAAAUAUUCCUACUCUGAUUGUCAAUCAGAGAUCCUAAUUUUGACUAUUCGGAGAAUACCCGUAGAAUGCCUCAAAGCUCAUCGACAAAGAAGCACGACCAAGAUCCGACGGACAGUACCGGACCCACCCUAAAAUCACAGCGUACCAAAAUGGUGA
RNAcentral lists this unclassified non-coding RNA (211 nucleotides) under Hevea brasiliensis (rubber tree). The record is from RNAcentral. Lineage: Eukaryota; Viridiplantae; Streptophyta; Magnoliopsida; Malpighiales; Euphorbiaceae.